UGCCCAGCAACUCCCUACCUCCUCGUGGUACAGGCCGGGGUACGAGUAACCUUGGGGAAGAUCGGGUAACCAACCCCCGGUGGGAACUUUGGUCGUAUGCUGACAGGGAAGG
Non-coding RNA from Aedes aegypti (yellow fever mosquito), 112 nucleotides. The record is from Rfam. NCBI's taxonomy places the organism in Eukaryota, Metazoa, Arthropoda, Insecta, Diptera, Culicidae.